AAUGGGGGCAACCCUGACGCAGCGACGCCGCGUGGAUGAUGAAGGCCUUUGGGUCGUAAAAUCCUGUCAGAUGGAAAGAAACGUAAGGUGGCUAAUAUCUGCCUUAUUUGACGGUACCAUCAAAGGAAGCACCGGCUAACUCCGUGCCAGCAGCCGCGGUAAUACGGAGGGUGCAAGCGUUGUUCGGAAUUACUGGGCGUAAAGCGCGCGUAGGCGGUUUGCUCAGUCAGAUGUGAAAGCCCUCGGCUUAACCGGGGACGUGCAUUUGAUACUGGCAGACUUGAGUACUGGAGGGGGUGGUGGAAUUCCCGGUGUAGAGGUGAAAUUCGUAGAUAUCGGAAGGAAUACCGGUGGCGAAGGCGACCACCUGGCCAGAUACUGACGCUGAGGUGCGAAAGCGUGGGGAGCAAA
RNAcentral lists this ribosomal RNA (411 nucleotides) under uncultured bacterium. RNAcentral describes it as "bacterial SSU rRNA". It matches the Rfam family "Bacterial small subunit ribosomal RNA", at positions 370 to 772 of the family's 1533-position model. The record is from RNAcentral.